GCGGAGGAAAAUAAAUCUAUUAAGACGGCAUCGUGUCACGAAGGAAAGCACAGCACUUUGGCAGUUGGCGCUAAGGUUUUCGCUUUACUGUGUAAAAAUGUCCAGUGGCUCGCAUUCCAGCACAGUUCAAAUUCAGCAUUAAAGUCUCACAUACUUUCCCCAUUGGAUUGAUUCUGCUGCCCACUACAACACGAUCCUUAUUUACUCCCUUCCUGCAUCUUCCAGCACCGAAGAGAAUGAGGCUCACAUGCUUUCUUUUAUUAUUCUUCAC
This 271-nucleotide unclassified non-coding RNA is filed under the name Hevea brasiliensis (rubber tree). The record is from RNAcentral. Lineage: Eukaryota; Viridiplantae; Streptophyta; Magnoliopsida; Malpighiales; Euphorbiaceae.